AAAUCUAUACAAUACGAGACGCAAGAGACUUAUUAUAACGUAAAAAUAUUGAAAUUAUUAAAAUAGAAUUUAUAACUUGCAGUGAUUUUGUCAUCAUUGUGUUUAAUACUUUAGAGUGGUCAAAAAUACAUAGUUCAGAAUAAUAACGAUCUGUAAUUUAUUUUCUGUUACCCAAUAAAUUUAAGUAAUCUGUGACGGAUAAAAGUUACUCUGUAAAAAAAAAUAACCUUUUAUCUUUUAUUGUUUGUGGUGCAAUGCUGCAUUUAAAAGUUUUCCCAACAAACAAUUCAAACUUUCUUUUAGCCCUAACAUUAAAAAGAAAUGGCUAUAUGUGAAAACCGCCAUAUUGAGUAAAUAUUUACUUACUAAUAGCAAAGGCAAACAACAAAACUUAAUGUUUUUUCGAGACAAACAUAAAAGAACAGAAAUCUACCUGCCUGAUAUCUAACAUGAAGAGAUGAAGCAAAUUCCCUAACAACAUCUAAUAUCCUGGUCUUUUCGGUACCAAAUUGUAACGUUUCGCCCUACCUCCUGCCUACUUAACUCCUACCCAAUGGAUUUAUUAGAAGAUAUUUGAAACUACAACUUACUAUUAACACUGGAUAUCUACACUGGUUAUCUACACUGGAUUCUACACUGGAUUCUUCCCACAAUGAAUCAAUACUUUUAUCAAAGAUCUUCGAAAACCGCCAGAAGGAAGCUCAAGAUUCAACUGAAAGUCUAGAAGGGAAAACAACCUAACAAAUAAACUGGAGACUUAAAAGUGAAACAAAUACUACUUUAGUUUGGCCAUGAAACAUCCAGGGAACCCCUACAUUGUGUAGUGUAACCCAUUAAACGAAAGCUAAUGAAUUUAAUAAAACUAUGAACGUGAAUUGAAUACAACCUUCCUAACUA
Plutella xylostella (diamondback moth) is the source of this 897-nucleotide non-coding RNA. The record is from RefSeq and is a predicted model, not a curated record. Lineage: Eukaryota; Metazoa; Arthropoda; Insecta; Lepidoptera; Plutellidae.